Molecule: transfer RNA, 84 nt
Filed under: Spirochaetaceae bacterium 4572_59
Lineage: Bacteria; Pseudomonadati; Spirochaetota; Spirochaetia; Spirochaetales; Spirochaetaceae
Also listed under: 1 other name
Description: tRNA-Leu
Rfam family: tRNA
About the family: Transfer RNA (tRNA) molecules are approximately 80 nucleotides in length. Their secondary structure includes four short double-helical elements and three loops (D, anti-codon, and T loops).
Source: RNAcentral
GCCGGCGUGGUGAAAUUGGUAUACACGGUAGAUUCAAAAUCUACUGGCAGCAAUGCCGUAUGGGUUCAAGUCCCAUCGCCGGUA